UACAUGGUGAAACCCUGGGUCAGAUGGUCAGGUAGUACCACAGACCUACAGUACAGUACUGUAGAUGUCUAUACUGCAUGGUGGAACCCUGGGCCAGAUGGUCAGGUAGUACCACAGACCUACAGUACAGUAGAUGUCUAUACUGCAUGGUGAAACCCUGGGCCAGAUGGUCAGGUAGUACCACAGACCUACAGUACAGUAGAUGUCUAUACUGCAUGGUGAAACCCUGGGCCAGAUGGUCAGGUAGUACCACAGACCUACAGUACAGUAGAUGUCUAUACUGCAUGGUGGAACCCUGGGCCAGAUGGUCAGGUAGUACCACAGACCUACAGUACAGUAGAUGUCUAUACUGCAUGGUGAAACCCUGGGCCAGAUGGUCAGGUAGUACCACAGACCUACAGUACAGUAGAUGUCUAUACUGCAUGGUGAAACCCUGGGCCAGAUGGUCAGGUAGUACCACAGACCUACAGUACAGUAGAUGUCUAUACUGCAUGGUGAAACCCUGGGCCAGAUGGUCAGGUAGUACCACAGACCUACAGUACAGUAGAUGUCUAUACUGCAUGGUGGAACCCUGGGCCAGAUGGUCAGGUAGUACCACAGACCUACAGUACAGUAGAUGUCUAUACUGCAUGGUGGAACCCUGGGCCAGAUGGUCAGGUAGUACCACAGACCUACAGUACAGUAGAUGUCUAUACUGCAUGGUGAAACCCUGGGCCAGAUGGUCAGGUAGUA
Molecule: long non-coding RNA, 732 nt
Organism: Oncorhynchus keta (chum salmon)
Lineage: Eukaryota; Metazoa; Chordata; Actinopteri; Salmoniformes; Salmonidae
Exons: 3
Source: RefSeq, a predicted model, not a curated record